UCUAAUGACAUUCUUGUCAAGUUAGCUAAAAGUGACAAAGUGGUUGAUUCUCUAAAGGACUUGAGAUACAAGGUAGUGGAAGCACAACUUAUAAAGCAGUUGACUGAGAUUGAGCUAUUGAUUAUGGUCUCUAUAAACAAGCAUAUCAUGCUUCUAUAGAUGUGGGCAACAUUUUGGAUCAGUAUGAGAUAUCCAAGCUUCUUAAGGGUCCAUUUGAUAUGGCAGGAGCAUGUUUGGUAAUAAGAGCUGGACCUGCCGCCAUCUAUCCAAAGGCCUAAUUGAUUGCUUAAAUCCACUACAGCUGGUGUAGGAAGUUACGUGGGAAGUUGCCUUUACAGACCUGGAGAUUAUUUUUAGCCAAGUUCCUUCUAUUGAAAAUAUCUUUUGAUUUUAAUACUAGAAAUGGUGAACUUGUUGCCCCAUAAAAGAAGAAGAUGGUAUACCCUUAAACUUUUCUCUGUGAAGAUUUCUAGAGAAAAAAGUUACAUACUUGAAGAGCUCUCAAAGAUUGGAAAGGAAAAGAAGAAUGUCAUCGACUACAGUGGAAAUCAACCUCGUGCCUCAAAAAUGCUUUUGGGAGUUAAUGACAUGUCAUGAAGAUAAUUAAUUUUCUGCAUGGUUCGAUGAUUUUGGACCAAAGCAUUUCCAUUUCACGUUGGGAAGCUUAUACAGAUGACAAUAAUUGGAACAGGCAUAACGUUGAAGACAGUAUUACAUGCUCUCAAGUCGGGUCUUUCUAAUGUAACUGCUGGAGCUGGAAAAUCAGAUGGCGUCUCUCAACAAGUUGGGUUAGGCACACGUGUUUCUACUCCUAGAAAUGAUGUCGAUAGCAAUUCUGCAAUCAAUGAUAGGCGGGAUCGUCCUGUUAAUUCAGACAAAGAAAGGAUAUUGUGGUUCAAACUAGUUCCGGGGAGCCUUUCAAACCGAAGUGAGUCAUGGUCAUUGGUGGAGAUGGAUAUUGUGGUUGGGCGACCGCCCUCCAUCUUUCUAUGAUAGAUCUGUCGAGAGCGGUGUAUAGGCAGCAAAACAAUGUUUUUGGGACACUGAAUGUGCUCUUUGCUAUAAAAGAGUAUAAAUGUUUUUGGGACAUUGAAUGUGCUCUUUGCUAUAAAAGAGUAUAAAGAGGAUUGCCAUUUGGUUAAGCUUGGGACAAUGGGUGAAUACGGGACUCCGAAUAUUGAUAUUGAGGAAGGUUAUAUUAAGGAGUAAAAACAGACGAGACUGCAAUGCAUGAAGAGCUGUGUAAUAGGUUUGAUUAUGAUGCUAUAUUUGGAACUGAAUGGAUUUUGUGUUCAGGCUGUUGUUGGUCAUCCACUCACUGUUUAUGGUAAAGGAGGCCAUUUUAUGUGUAUGAUUUUAUAGUACUUGAAAUAUUAUGAAUGCACAUGAUAUUGUAUACUUUUUGGUUAAUAUUAAAAAUAUUUUGACUUAGUUAAAAUAUGAUUUU
Long non-coding RNA from Vicia villosa (hairy vetch), 1447 nucleotides. RefSeq lists it as uncharacterized. NCBI's taxonomy places the organism in Eukaryota, Viridiplantae, Streptophyta, Magnoliopsida, Fabales, Fabaceae. The record is from RefSeq and is a predicted model, not a curated record. The transcript has 7 exons.